AAUACUAUUUUUUGUGAUAUAGCAGGUUAAUUACUAUUUUUUAAGGUUAUCAAAUUAAAUUUUCUUUUAGGUUUUGAUUCAUAAAAAGAAUUACAAUUUGACAAGUUCUUAUUUUUCUUCUACUCUACGUGUAGGCCAAGACGGAGCAAUGGACAGAAUCAGCAAAUUCCUCUGUUAAUAAAAUUGAAGAUGAUCUAAAGAGCUUGCGAAUCAGCUCAACAAAAAAGGGAACAGAAUUCUGGAUUCCUUCACCAGGUGAUUUUUUUUUGAAAAAAUAUAAAAUUGGUCGAUCAGGUCAAAACUAAUAGUGUUUGCUAGCCAAAAAGUGUAUAAUAUAUACAUAUAUGCACAAAAUAUAUUUUUGUUGGUUAAUUUUUUAGAAGCGGCUAAAAAUACACAUUUCGUAUUUUUAUUUUUAUCGAUAAUUUUAAAUAAAUAUAUUUGGUAAUAUUAAUUUUUUUUCUUCUUGUUGGUUGUCUUUUAGACCGGAGAGCAAAUGAUACACAUGGCUCAAGGAUGGGGUGAAGAACACACUAGGAAUUAGAUCAAACAAAAACAAAUGAAAGUCAAGAUUACUGUUAUAAAAUAGAAGUCUAUUUAGAGUGAAUGUCUAAGAGUUUUAGCUUGAAGCUAA
This 634-nucleotide long non-coding RNA is filed under the name Nicotiana benthamiana. RNAcentral's name for it is "long non-coding RNA (NBEN_LNC015724)". Lineage: Eukaryota; Viridiplantae; Streptophyta; Magnoliopsida; Solanales; Solanaceae. The record is from RNAcentral.